ACCUCUGCAAUCCUCCCUAUAGCAAGAUGGGUCAAAGCCUGAUCCCUACCCCCCAAAAUGGGUGUCAAGUGUCUCCGUCAAGGACAGACUUAAGACUCACCCGAAAGAAAACGAGACUUCUGGUAAAGCCCUAGAGACCUGAUCUGGCAUCACCGGCUUUGCUCUAUUUGCUUUGAGGAAGCCAUUCUUCACUGCAUCUGCUCUGUGUACAGAAUCCUUCUCAUUCUAAUCCACCUUGGUGGCCCUAAGUGCUUAGAUAAGCAAACUCAGCUCACCAAUACCAUGAGGUUCUUUGGUGGGUGAAGAGAUGUUUCCUUUUCCCAGGUCCCCUUACUUCCUCUCCGCCCCCCCACUAAACUCCCGUCUUCUCUCUGUACUUCUCUCACCUUGUACUCCUGCACCACCUCCUCCAAUGGCACCACGCUGUGCUGUUUGUGGCUCCUGGAUUCUCGGCACACCACACAGAUGGCCUCUUCGUCUACCUCGCAGAAGAGCUUCAGGGCUUCUUGGUGUUUGGGACAGAUGCCCUGAUCGGUCACGCGGCUCCCUCGAC
RNAcentral lists this non-coding RNA (553 nucleotides) under Pan troglodytes (chimpanzee). The record is from RNAcentral. Lineage: Eukaryota; Metazoa; Chordata; Mammalia; Primates; Hominidae.